CCUACGGGUGGCAGCAGUGAGGAAUAUUGGUCAAUGGGCGGAAGCCUGAACCAGCCAAGUCGCGUGAGGGAAUAAGGCCCUACGGGUCGUAAACCUCUUUUGCCGGGGAGCAAGGGCGGGGACGUGUCCCGUCCCGGAGAGUACCCGGAGAAAAAGCAUCGGCUAACUCCGUGCCAGCAGCCGCGGUAAUACGGAGGAUGCGAGCGUUAUCCGGAUUUAUUGGGUUUAAAGGGUGCGUAGGCGGGCUUUUAAGUCAGCGGUAAAAAUUCGGGGCUCAACCCCGUCCGGCCGUUGAAACUGGGGGGCUUGAGUGGGCGAGAAGAAGGCGGAAUGCGUGGUGUAGCGGUGAAAUGCAUAGAUAGCACGCAGAACCCCGAUUGCGAAGGCAGCCUUCCGGCGCCCUACUGACGCUGAGGCACGAAAGUGCGGGGAUCGAACAGGAUUAGAUACCCUGGUAGUC
RNAcentral lists this ribosomal RNA (460 nucleotides) under uncultured bacterium. RNAcentral describes it as "partial 16S ribosomal RNA". It matches the Rfam family "Bacterial small subunit ribosomal RNA", at positions 338 to 795 of the family's 1533-position model. The record is from RNAcentral.